UAAAUAAUAUAUCCCUAAUUUAUCGCGUCCUUCUUCGCCCAAACCCUAUCUCUGUUUGCGCCGUUCACCAUUCUUCCCUCGCCGGAUCUCCUUCACCUUUCUUCGCUCGCCGUCGAUCUUCUUCACCUUUCUUCGCUCGCCGUCGAUCUCCUUCACCUUUCUUCGCUCGCCGUCGCUCGUUCUUCACCUUUCUUUGCUUGCCGUCGAUCUCCUUUACGCCGUCGAUCUAGUUCUCUUCCGUGUCCGUGAGAGAAGUAAGAAUACAUAUAUUGAUGCUUCUUAAUUUUUUGGGUUCUUUAUCCCCAAAUUUCCGAGUUUUACUCUUUAUCCCUCCCAAACGUUUGUAGGUUUUUAUGUACUUUUUUGCUGACUGAUUAUGGCAUAUGAUUCCUGUUGCAAGUUCAUCUGACUUCUUUUUCCCCUUCCACCCCUUUCUCAAAAUGUAUAAUUUUCUAUAUUCAGUCUCUUCUUGUCAGCCAUCUUUCGUUUGUACUUCAACUUUCCUGAAAUUUUAUCAUUUUAAAUCUUCUCUUUAAGAAAAUUAGCUUGUCAAUUUAAGGAACAUCAUACAAGUCGUGGUAUUCAAUUUGAAACUACCUGUUUUAGUUCUAAAAUAUUUAGCCAUUCAACCUCAGACUUCAUUAGACGGUGCAUUGUUACGCAAACAACAGUGUCAUGAAUCACGAUGAAUGAAAGAAAGGCUGAACAAAUGUUCUAAAAAUAGUCGAACCAAGAACACCAUGUGUUAUCCAUGUUUAUGUUGCUUUCUUCAAGGCAUUAUAAUUUCAACAUAAGUUGAAAUUUACACCCCAAACAACGAGAAUUUGAUGCUAAGUUUAGAACUGAGUGCAAUUUCUUUUAAUAUUUUUUAAUGGGUUUUCUUUUUCUUUUGUGCUAAUCAAUGAUGCUUGCUUCCAUGUUAUUAUGAGGAACGUAUACUCCGGGGCUACUAGGAAUAAUUGUCCAUGGAUAAGUGAUCUUUGGGUUUGGUAUUUGCUUGUUCUGAAACGUGCACGUGCUUUUAAAGGUGAAAUUGUUUCUGUUCAAGUUUGAUGUGUAAGGCUUUUGAUUCUUGGGGAUUUGGAAGGAAGAUAUGAAGAUUGCAUUGGACAUAUUUUAAGAAGGUUGAAAAGUGGAGAAGGUGCACCCAACACAAAAAGGAUUUCAUAACAACAUUAAUAACAAGUACAAGUUUAUUCAUGUGUUCUCCGGUCGUUUUCGGUUGGUUUCCGUCAGCAUGUGGGCUUUCUUGGAGUGUUCUUUGUUCUCUCCAUACAUUUUUCAUUACUCUCUCAGAUCAGAGGUUUGAAAGUUUUUCUCCUCGUACGUUCAUUCUAGAUCUAUUCAUGUUUUACUUGCUUUUUUUCUCUGUUAGAUUAUGGGAAGAUUUUGUCACAAUUUGAUGUUAGUAGUGAUGCAGUUACCCCAUGAUGCCAAUCACAAAGAAGAGGCUCUUCCUCAACAUUUGUGCCUUGCAAAAUAAAAGAGAACAUGAAAUCCUCAUAUGAGGUCAGAGAAAGAAUGGAAUUCCUAUUUAUACUUAUCUCUGCUAGGGUUGUCAAUACUGUUUAUAAAUAUUUAUAAAUACCCGAUUGGAAAGCUGAGGGUACAACCAGUAGGCAUUAUUGUAUUUGCUGCUGUCAUGGCUACACUAGGUAUGUCUUGUUUUGUAAACCAGUUUGAAAGUGCAUUGAUUUUCUCAUUCAGUCAUUUGAACCAUGAUCGAGGAGUACGAAAGUCUAGUAAUUCUAUUGCCUAUCUACCUCAUAUUCCUGCUAGAAAUGAAGGCCCCUUUCUCAAUUAUAACAAGUGAAAAUAUUGACAUCCACUAUUGAUGGUUAUUACAUCGAUGUCUUGUAAUUAGCAAAGACCAUGUCUUUCAAUUUUCUAUUCAUAUUUGUAUUCUAGGAUCUUUAAUUGUUGGAUCAACUUGGUUACGUCAAAAUUUCAUAUUACUUUUAUUGGUAGCAAAGCAUGAUUAUAUAUGAUUUGGGUUUCUUUAACAAUGCGGAGUGGCUAAAUCGUUUGGAUUUCUUGUUUAGGCUUUCAGGUAUUGCUUCAACCAGUAGAAAAACUAAUUCAAGAUAAACCUUGAAAGUCUAUCGUCAGAACAAUUCAUCUGGUUUUGUGCAAUUAUGACCUUUGCCACAGUAGUAAAACUUGCCCUCUGCUUAUACUACAAAACCUCAAGAAAUGAUCUUUUGGAUUCAUUGCUGAGUGAAAACAGGUUUUAAAUGAUUAAUCCGUUGUAUACUAAUAUGAAGAAAGAUGGGUUAAUUCCUAAUGUCUUUACAUAUAAUAUACUUUUGAAGGCGCUGUGCAAGAAUGAUCGUGUUGAUGCUGCACACAAGCUAUUUGUCGAAAUGUCAAGUAAGGGCUGCCUACCUGUCGUGGUUAGCUAUACGACUAUGGUGUCUUCACUGUGUAAAGCAGAUAAGAUUGAUGAUGCUAGAGAGCUAGCGGGAAGAUUUAAUGCAAAUGUCUAGAUAGAAUCCUUCAGCAUAAUGCAAAUGUUUAGAACUAUAUGAAACGCUAUCGUGCCUAAUGGAGAUGACAUUUAGUUUAAUUAGGGCAUUUAGUCUUUAAUUAAUAGUUGGAUCUCGUCUACUAAUUUAUUGUUGGAUGUUUAGAUUUUGUUAUUGCUCCAUAGAACUACAUGUUGGAUUUGUGAUAUGUUUCCAUUUGUUAGGUAUUUUAUUCAUUGUUAACUUUUCUUCAAGUAUUUAUAGAAAGAGUCUAACUUUAAGGAAGAGUUCUCCUUUCUUUUGCUAACUACUUGUGUUUGUUGGCUUUUGAAAUCACUUCUUUCUGUAGAUUUUGUGGUUUAUUGAGACAUUUGUUUAGAUCGAUGGAACUUAGAACUUUGCUGAGUUUUUGUGUUUUGGCUUUUCUUUUCAUUGAUAGGAACCGAGUCCAUGAAUCUAGAGGUAAAAGAUUGAAUGCCCAUGUGACAACUUUUGAUAAUUGAAGUGAAGUGAAUAAUCAGAUUUGAGUUUUUGUAAAACAUUGUUAUUUAUGUUUGAAUGUCUGAAGAAACCUACAAGGAGAGUUUUUGUAAAUCAUUGUUAUACUUUUUGUGACAAAUUUUGAGAUUUGAAGUACAUUGUGAGCUAAAUUUGCUUAUUGAUAUAUGUGUUCUUGAAUAUUCAUUUUUUUGAGAAUUCUGAUAGUUUUAUUUAGAACAAGUGGUUGUGGAAAAUUAUUGGGAGUGUGUUUCUUUGAACAGGUUCAAGGUAAAUUUUUAGUUUUAUUGUGGUAGCAUCGUUAUGCUACCGAAAAUUUUCCAUCGUCUUCGUAGCUCAUAUCUAGGUAACCAAGCUUCUCUUCUUCAAGAUCUUGAAAAAGAAGAUUCUCUCAUCCAUUGAUAUCAACUCUUGAGAUCUAUCUGUUUUUCUUGGGAAAAUAUGUUUAAAUUGGCUAUUUCCUAUUUUUUUCCUUCUUGUGUAUGAGCUAAGAAAGAAAUAUUACUAAAAUAAUGUCAUCUUUUGUUGUUUCUUCUUCAAUAUUUAAGACAUCUUUGGAAGAGACAUGGAAGGCAUUGUCGUCGUUCGCAUGUCUCCGCCACACGUGCUGCCAGAUUCAUUCUACCCUUUACUUUUAAUGAUGUUGUUUGUGUGUUUUUAGGUGUUUGGAAGAGGCGGGGAGGAGAAGGAUUUAUUGUAACAACAAGGGAUUCACGUAAAAAUUGUUCUUGAAUGUAUAGAUAGGAAUUUAGCUGCAGAAGCGGAAAUUAUCCAUGGACAUAUCGUUAAGUUCACGUAUAUAGGAAGGAUUUGGACCAUAUAGGAAGGAUUAUGCAUGUUGGAGUGAGAAUGUUGUGGGGAUACCAGUUACAAUGAUUAUGGCGCAUAU
Molecule: non-coding RNA, 3852 nt
Organism: Benincasa hispida (wax gourd)
Lineage: Eukaryota; Viridiplantae; Streptophyta; Magnoliopsida; Cucurbitales; Cucurbitaceae
Source: RefSeq, a predicted model, not a curated record